Molecule: ribosomal RNA, 253 nt
Filed under: uncultured bacterium
Lineage: Bacteria
Description: partial 16S ribosomal RNA
Rfam family: Archaeal small subunit ribosomal RNA
Source: RNAcentral
UACCAGCACCCCGAGUGGUCGGGACGAUUAUUGGGCCUAAAGCAUCCGUAGCCGGUUCUACAAGUCUUCCGUUAAAUCCACCUGCUUAACAGAUGGGCUGCGGAGGAUACUAUGGAGCUAGGAGGCGGGAGAGGCAAGCGGUACUUAGUGGGUAGGGGUAAAAUCCGUUGAUCCAUUGAAGACCACCAGUGGCGAAGGCGGCUUGCCAGAACGCACUCGACGGUGAGGGAUGAAAGCUGGGGGAUCAAACCGG